UCCUGUCGCAUCUGCCUUUGAC
Molecule: unclassified non-coding RNA, 22 nt
Filed under: Mus musculus (house mouse)
Lineage: Eukaryota; Metazoa; Chordata; Mammalia; Rodentia; Muridae
Description: oocyte_clustered_small_RNA4653
Source: RNAcentral